RNAcentral lists this ribosomal RNA (399 nucleotides) under Triticum aestivum (bread wheat). RNAcentral's name for it is "partial small subunit ribosomal RNA". Lineage: Eukaryota; Viridiplantae; Streptophyta; Magnoliopsida; Poales; Poaceae. The record is from RNAcentral.
CUAGCGCUGGACGCGCCAUUCACCGAGGAGGAGAUUUGGUACGCUGUCAAGAGUCUGCCGACUGGGAAGGCGCCUGGCCCCGAUGGUUUCUCCUCUUUCUUGGUUGCCUAUUGGGACACGAUCAAGCUUGACUUCCUUGCGGCUUUCGACAAGUUCUACGCCAUGAAUGGUAGAGGCCUGCAAAAGCUCAGUGAGGCCCUUUUUACGCUGCUCCCCAAGCGUGCAGAUGCGCACUCCCUCUUUGACUAUAGACCCAUCAGUCUCAUACACAUCUUCGCCAAGUUGGUUGCGAAGCUUCUCUCCCUUUGUCUUGCUCCACGGCUGAACACCAUGGUCUAUGCCAACCAAAGUGCAUUUAUUGCGGGACGUUGUAUCCACGACAACUACCUCCUUGUGUAG